AGGCUUAACACAUGCAACUCGAGCGCCCCGCAAGGGGAGCGGCAGACGGGUGAGUAACGCGUGGGAAUCUACCUUUUGCUACGGAAUAACGCAGGGAAACUUGUGCUAAUACCGUAUGUGUCCUUCGGGAGAAAGAUUUAUCGGCAAGAGAUGAGCCCGCGUUGGAUUAGCUAGUUGGUGGGGUAAAGGCCUACCAAGGCGACGAUCCAUAGCUGGUCUGAGAGGAUGAUCAGCCACAUUGGGACUGAGACACGGCCCAA
RNAcentral lists this ribosomal RNA (260 nucleotides) under Martinezella tropici. RNAcentral's name for it is "Rhizobium tropici partial 16S ribosomal RNA". It matches the Rfam family "Bacterial small subunit ribosomal RNA", at positions 46 to 334 of the family's 1533-position model. Lineage: Bacteria; Pseudomonadati; Pseudomonadota; Alphaproteobacteria; Hyphomicrobiales; Rhizobiaceae. The record is from RNAcentral.